CCUUCCCUCUGCUUCGCGCUGCCCGCCUCCAGCGGCUCUCCCUGGGCCGACCCGGGCCCACCAGAGUUGCACCUGGCUGCCUCCUGACACUCGGUUUCAUUCUGGGACCUCCGGUGACGGUCCACCAACGCGACCGACACAUCUUCAGCUUGUGGCAGGCCCACCCUGGGGACCCGGCGGAAAGUUCCAGCCUUUUCCUACCGUGCUUUCUCCCCAGGGGUUGGUGGGAGGGUUGGGCGGGAGGUAGCAUGUGUGUGCGAGGGUCUGACCUGGAGUGGCAGAGAGGUCUCAGCUGGAGGGAGCAGCUGGGCAAGGAAGGCUUCUCCACCGGCCCAUAAACUUGGCUGAGCCCUAGCAUUAGGAACUAAGAGGACUUUGCAGUGGGAGAAUACAGUGGCCCGGGGCAGGAACAGUGAAUCAUUGGCUAAACUGGCCUUGAAGGUACUGAAAGGAAAUAAAGGGAAGGGAGGCCAACUGUGGCCGAAUGUAGUAGGGCUUGAAGGCCAACCCGACCAGUUUGGUUUUAUUCUGGAAGCAGAGAAGACAGAAACAGUGAAGAUUCGUGAGGAGCCUGCCAUCAGGCUUGUAUGAUCAAAUACCGAUUGAAUGCCUACCAUGUGCAAGACUGUGGGGCCCUUCUCCAUCCUCAUUCCCCAGAAGAUAAGCCACUGAUGUACUUUGAGCAAGGGUUCAGUCUGAAAACCACCAUCCAUGUGAACGCAAACAACUCCGUUCCCGUGAUUAUCUGAGGCUUUAUACGUUUCAGCAGAAAAAUUAAAAGGAACUGGGAUCAAAGAAGCAGGAAUGGCAAUGAGGAAUAUCGGAUAAAGGCAUGCCUGUGUGUGUAUGAGCAGUCCAGUCCUAUAACUACUAUUACUGCACUUCAUGGAUGGGAAGAACUGAAUGAGAAAGGGUGAUGGAUUUUUCUCAAGGUCACAUGGCAAGCAAGGCAGAAGCAAUGCAGGUGUUCCAGGCUGAAGAAAAACUGUGCAUAAAGGGAUGGAAGGAGGAAAGCACAGCACACGUGAUUCUGCUACACGUGAUUCUGCUUGGCCAAACCAUCCGCUGAAUAAGAGACCUUUAUAUGUAAGAAGGUGAAAAAGUUGGUUGGUCCCAAAUUAUUAAGUGGUUUGAAUAAAAGAAUAAGGAGUUUUGUUUGUA
Neogale vison (American mink) is the source of this 1161-nucleotide long non-coding RNA. RefSeq lists it as uncharacterized. The record is from RefSeq and is a predicted model, not a curated record. Lineage: Eukaryota; Metazoa; Chordata; Mammalia; Carnivora; Mustelidae. The transcript is spliced from 3 exons.